UUGCUUGUAAGCGCGCGUGCUGAUCCAGCCGCCCGUCUUCUUGUUUUCGAAACCCACUUCAUUAGAGAUUGAGUUUGAAACCUUCAUUUACAUCUGGUAAUUUAGUACUUGUUCUACUUGUUCUUGCUGGUUCUUCGAUUGCUUGCAGGACGAGUGCCCUAGUGGCCGGGUGUUGCGCUCCACAAGAUCGUGACAGCCAUUGGAGGCGGUGUAUCGGUUGCUAAGGCGCAGUCUUGAGGGCUGUAGUCGGGCCGUGAACGUCAUCUCCAUUCACUAAUCGAGUUAUCUAGCGCCUCUCAUCGAAAGAUCAGGCGAAAACCCUAGUGGGUUCACAUCAGUUGGUAAUCAGAGCAAGGUUUAUCGGUGAGAGAUUUCCAAUUCUUCGUGUUUGUUUUUCCUAUAGUCCAAAAAAAAGACAAAAAAAUAUAGCAGAUUUGUUUUCCAUAAUCCUAUAAAUCCUUUGUGCCGUGGCUAGUACUACUUAGUUAGGGCUGGUUGAAUGAGUGUUUGCUUCGGUCGUGUCCAGUGCUGGUUUUAGUUUAGUCCUUUAGAGUUUUGAGUUCUUGUCACCAUCUAGUCACAACUGCGUCAAAUCUAUUGUGGGUUGGAAUUUGAGUAGAUCUUGAUAAUAGGUGCAGCCACUUGUUUGUCUAUUCUGCGUUUCCA
This 666-nucleotide long non-coding RNA is filed under the name Sorghum bicolor (sorghum). RNAcentral describes it as "long non-coding RNA (SBIC_LNC018606)". The record is from RNAcentral. Lineage: Eukaryota; Viridiplantae; Streptophyta; Magnoliopsida; Poales; Poaceae.